UACCACUGUUUUCUUCGGCGUUUGAUGAAGAAUCCGAAGGAAAACGGGCGACCCAUCACUACGUUUGAAAUUAUGCUGUAGUUGCAACUACCCAUAGUUUCAGGGGAGGUUUCCUCCAUCGACUUCAAAUUUCAUAAUAUCGCUGGCGACUCUUUCUCUGUGCCUUGCUAUUUCUUCAAAAUUCCCCUCUCUGAAAUUAACAGUGGCCAUGGAUAGUGUGUGUCAAAGGAGAAGAGUGAUAAAAUAAUCAUGAGAGACAUUCAAGCAAUCAGAGAUCAAUGUGAUAUUAAUCACAAUGACACCGGUGGAAGUAAGAAUUCGAUGUCGUAAAAAUCUUCGCUAGCAUCUGCAUUUUUUGUGUCUUGACUAGAUUAUGGGGCUAAACCCACCUUUGGUGUCAAGUCUGCUCUUGCAUACAAAUUUAUCGAUAAGGCUCUCACAUUUAGGGCGAAACUUAUUGCUCUUAUUGUUCCUCCAUAGACUGAAAGUUGAUGUACAAUAACGGGACAAGGCAUUUGGUACUUCUACUGAACUCUGUGUUGACGAAAGACAAAGAAUCGCCACAGAUGCAUUAAAAUCUUGCGCUCUCAAACCGUUACAAGCUAGGACACAGCUAAAAUCUUGGAUGUACAGUAUAUUUUCUGGAAUGGAGUUAGACUAUUUGCUUUUCGCUCGCAGAGAAUUAUGGGAGAUGGAGACAAUGGUGGAUCACAUAAAGUGUGACCAUGGUUAUACCGCAGAAAGUCCUCCGAUUAUUAAUGUAUGGUACUUUGAAUUACCCCAUUCCUAUCUUGGUGCUAAAAGAGUGGGAUAUAAUAUAUAUUUUGUUUUGAGGUUUUUUACUUGAGAUCAUGGGGGAAUUCACCCUAGAGCAGCAGCAAGCUUUCCGUCAAUUUGUGAGUGGCUAAGAAGAAUGAAAGGGCACUUACUGAUGGUGGGUAUGAUCAAUGAGGGGCCCCUUGAUCAGCAAAAGCUCAAGCGUCUGAUCAAGCCUAUUGAUGGAAGGUGAGAUCAUAUUGGUUGCUAUUGAGAAUCUUAACAAGGACGGAUUUCAGGUCCUUCCGGCUUUUGUUUAUAUAGGCAGUGUGUUGACGGGACGUGACCAACAGAGUAAUGUGAAAAACACCCACCUUCCUCCUGGUAGCUUGCAAGAAACGUCUCACUAGCUUUUCUCGGCCAGUGGAUCUUGAGAAGUGCAGUGAUAUUCGAGGUGAUUUCAUGAAGUGGGGUUCCCUUGGUUCGUGCAGGAGAUCGAGUUUUGCCUCUGGGUAUGAACCACUAAAAGAAGAACCUUUGGGAUCAAUUAUUGACAUUAGGAAGGCAGUGCUUCAGUCACCUUAGGAUCUUGCAGACAUUUGGGAUGAUGAACUUUGGAUUCAAGCAGAACUCUUGGCAAUUUAAGCACAACCUAAUUUGAUUUUCUGUUGAACUUAUUUGCAGAACUCUAUACAAGGAUGAGUACACAAGCAAGCAAGAUUUUGAGAUAUUCAGAUAGCACUACAACAUUCACGGCAACCCUCUAGAUAUGUCCUCGAAACCGGUGGUUAGUAACAUAGGCCAACUGUAGGAAUCUGCAUUAUUUUCAUGCUGUUUAUUAAAGGAGACUUUAUUUACCUUUGAUUGGUCCAACACGCUAGCAGAUCUGUAUCAACGCAAGCUAUGGCACCAGCUCACUCUCAGGCUUAAUCAAUUUGUAGCCCUGGCUGUUUUUCAGGCAUACAGCUAGAACUCAACAUGACCAGAAUCUGGUCAUGAGCUGAGCAGUGACCUUGAUUAUACAUCAAGAUUAUACAACAUGAUCGUUUGAAGGUAAUCAGAUUCUUGGUGGCAAAACACAGGGGCAUCUUACGCCAUCACAAAGAAGGCUACGUGGUGUUGUCCUGUCUGGUAAACAUUCUAUUAUAAACAGGCAUUUAAAUAUUGGCUAAGAUUGAUUGCAUUGUAACAAGUGCAACAACAGGCAGUGGUGGAAUAUAUAGAAAUAUUAUGAGUUAAUGCCUUUGUUAAAAGGGAAACUGGUUUUCACUCUGUUUACCUGUUCCUGUUAACAUCGAUCCCUUAAAAGAUGUGUUUCCAGUCACAAGUGCGCCUUCUAAGUUAGCAUUAUUCAAAUUGACCUGCAUAAAAGGCCUGUAAGUAGCCGUGUUUUAGUGCCAGAACACCAUUACAAAUUCCUUUUUUCAUAAUUCCUUUUUUGUAGUGUACUUAACAUUUGAUCUGGUAGGAAUCUGUUCAAGCGCGUCCCAAGAUUCAGGUAAAAACAAACAGUACUGCCACCGCACACAUUCAUGUUGUAAUUAGGUGUUACCUGCCUUCUUCCUGUUACAUUAUGUUCAUCAAAAGCCUGAAGAUCGUAACUUCGAUGCAAAUCAUUACGUACUGGAAAUGUCCUACACAUUUUAAAAAUUCUUACUACUGUCUUUUACUAUUUCUUGAUGCUUCAGACUGUGACUUAUCAAUGUGAGGGGAAUUGCAUUUAACAAAACCACUCCUACAUGAGCCUGAGAAAUUAGAAUCACCAUUAUUAGAGUUAUAAAAUACUCGAUAUAUAGGCUACAUUAAAUAAAUAUGCCUUGGACAUUUCGCCCAAUGAUCACGUAGUAUAUAUCAUUCAUUCAAAUAAUGAACAUAGACUUAAAUGAACUUUUCUUAAAUUUAAAGCUGACUAAUCACAGGCUGUGGCUAUGCCCCUGUUGGUGAGCUUGCCCCAUCCAGUAAUAUAUUUAAGGCUUUGAAGUCUCUAUAUAUUACUGAGGUUUGUAAAUCUUAUUAUGCAUGUUUAAUCUUAAGACAUAACAGGUUUUCAAGACAGGCUCGGGACUCAAAGUCGAGCCGGAAUUACACAGAAGGGGUUCAAACCUUCAAGCCAGGCAUCGGGUAUUUUUAGAUCACGUGUUCUUAUUUUCUGAUGCAUAGUUCAAUAUAAUCAUGACUUUUUAAUUUAGACAGCUCAAAGUUAAGUGAUGCAUCUAUAUUGUUAGUGACCCUUAUCAUUAUUUUGUUUGAUUUGAAAGUUUUAUUUAUCUUUUUCUUGAUUAUUGUGAGUGAAGUUUUAUUUAACUUUAUUUAAUUUGCUGAGGUGUGAUGUUGAUGAGUUUGUGGCCAAAUCAUUGGCUCAAUUCCUGUUUAAAUUUGCAUCCACUGUUGAACUUCGAGACUGUGACUUAUGACUUUGAGGAGGAAUUGCAUUUAACAAAGCCACUCCUACUGAUUGUGGUAACAAUGGCAUAGCAGAUAUGUGAAUCUUAUGAUAACCGAGAUAACCGACUAAAAUGAAUAUGUUGCAGAUUCCUGUGAAGUAGAGUGGUAUAUAGCUUUUUACUUUCAACAGUUUUAACCCCCUAAUUUCAAUGAUAUGUAAUGUUUUAAAUCCAGAUCCCGGCGACAUUACUUAACUCUUUGUUCCAAAAGGAUGCUGGCAGUUGUUCAGGGUUAUUGCGAUUCUCACAGCUAAAUUUGUUGAUUCUUGGCCCACAUGAUACGGGAGAGGCAGGGCUUAGAAUGACCAAGUUUGCAUAGAUUUGCUGAGGUUCAAGUGCAGUACUUUCAAGGAUAAAAGAACUAGCUUCUUCAUCGUCUGAGAAACUCAAACAAUUUUAAGAAAACGAUGAGAAGUCGAGGUCCUAGAGAAUGCACAUAAUACUGUGUUGCUGAAAGACAUGGCUCCUGAACCUCUUAGCUACAAUACAAAAGUAUGCGCAUAGAUUUUUUCCCUACAGCUACAUAUUGUAUGCUCAAAACAGAGGAAUAAAGGAUGUUGUAGGAUUGUCAGUUCUGCAUCUACGAGGCAGAUGAAUGGAUUAUGAUGCAGGAUUGUGAGUUCUGCAGGUACCAGGCAGGGAGGGAAAAAUAUCAGCAUGCAAAGAUCAAGUGACCUGAGUAAAUAAGAUUGAGUAAGAAAACCUGUUUUUUUUAGUACUGUCAUGUCAAUUUCUUUGAUUUUUUCACGCUGAUUCUAUUAGCGCUGUAGUAUGUAUGGAUGCACUACUGUAGAAAACUAUAGAUGCAAUUGAAGUGGUUAAUUAAUUUGUAAAACCUAUCUUCGGUGGACCUUUGUAAUGUACCUCCGUCCAUUCGUGAAUUGAAGCACUAUAUUAACCGGAA
RNA transcript from Daucus carota subsp. sativus, 4104 nucleotides. RefSeq lists it as uncharacterized. The transcript is spliced from 17 exons. The record is from RefSeq and is a predicted model, not a curated record. NCBI's taxonomy places the organism in Eukaryota, Viridiplantae, Streptophyta, Magnoliopsida, Apiales, Apiaceae.